This is a long non-coding RNA of Etheostoma cragini (Arkansas darter), 105 nucleotides long. RefSeq lists it as uncharacterized. Lineage: Eukaryota; Metazoa; Chordata; Actinopteri; Perciformes; Percidae. The transcript has 3 exons. The record is from RefSeq and is a predicted model, not a curated record.
UUGCUCUCUCUUUCUAUCAAACCUGUUGGCAGAAGGAGGUCUGGCUGAGGAGUUGCUCCUGCUGACGGAGAUGGAGGACGGAGGAAGAGCGGGUGGUUUGUUCCA